GUGGGGAAUUUUGGACAAUGGGCGCAAGCCUGAUCCAGCAAUGCCGCGUGUGUGAAGAAGGCCUUCGGGUUGUAAAGCACUUUUGGCAGGAAAGAAAUAGUGCGUGCUAAUACCAUGCGCGAAUGACGGUACCUGCAGAAUAAGCACCGGCUAACUACGUGCCAGCAGCCGCGGUAAGACGUAGGGUGCAAGCGUUAAUCGGAAUUACUGGGCGUAAAGCGUGCGCAGGCGGUUUUGUAAGACAGGUGUGAAAUCCCCGGGCUCAACCUGGGAACUGCACUUGUGACUGCAAGGCUAGAGUGUGUCAGAGGGAGGUGGAAUUCCGCGUGUAGCAGUGAAAUGCGUAGAGAUGCGGAGGAACACCGAUGGCGAAGGCAGCCUCCUGGGAUAACACUGACGCUCAGGCACGAAAGCGUGGGGAGCAAACAGGAUUAGAUACCCUGGUAGUCC
This 450-nucleotide ribosomal RNA is filed under the name uncultured bacterium. Its description in RNAcentral is "bacterial SSU rRNA". It matches the Rfam family "Bacterial small subunit ribosomal RNA", at positions 354 to 796 of the family's 1533-position model. The record is from RNAcentral.